RNAcentral lists this ribosomal RNA (465 nucleotides) under Vreelandella stevensii. RNAcentral describes it as "partial 16S ribosomal RNA". It matches the Rfam family "Bacterial small subunit ribosomal RNA", at positions 338 to 795 of the family's 1533-position model. The record is from RNAcentral. Lineage: Bacteria; Pseudomonadati; Pseudomonadota; Gammaproteobacteria; Oceanospirillales; Halomonadaceae.
CCUACGGGUGGCAGCAGUGGGGAAUAUUGGACAAUGGGGGGAACCCUGAUCCAGCCAUGCCGCGUGUGUGAAGAAGGCCCUCGGGUUGUAAAGCACUUUCAGUGAGGAAGAACGCCUGGUGGUUAAUACCCAUCAGGAAAGACAUCACUCACAGAAGAAGCACCGGCUAACUCCGUGCCAGCAACCGCGGUAAUACGGAGGGUGCGAGCGUUAAUCGGAAUUACUGGGCGUAAAGCGCGCGUAGGUGGCUUGAUAAGCCGGUUGUGAAAGCCCCGGGCUCAACCUGGGAACGGCAUCCGGAACUGUCAAGCUAGAGUGCAGGAGAGGAAGGUAGAAUUCCCGGUGUAGCGGUGAAAUGCGUAGAGAUCGGGAGGAAUACCAGUGGCGAAGGCGGCCUUCUGGACUGACACUGACACUGAGGUGCGAAAGCGUGGGUAGCAAACAGGAUUAGAUACCCGUGUAGUC